ACAAGUCUUAAUUCCCAUGCGAUACCUUGGCUUGGGCUGAAUUAAAGUUGAUCACGCACACUGUUUGGUUUUCAGUCCAUCAAUUAUUGAGUUGAUGAUAAUUGUUUUAAAUUAUUUGCAGCGUCUAAGUAUACAUAAAACAACAAUUGUUCCAUGAUAAAGGCUCCCAACUGUAGUGGAAGGACCUCUGCACAAGUUAUUCGACAUUCAAUAGCGAAGAAGAUAGGUAUACUCGACUCUCAAGUCCCCCGGAGUUCCAUUUUUCUUGGAAUGCAUAAGUCUAAAAUGAAAGUUCCACUAAGGCCUGAUUUGCUUGUAAGUAUUCCCUAGAUAAUUUUUUCCUUUUUAUAUUCUUAGUUUUCUUGUGGUUAAUGAUAUUCUUUAAGGAUAUUCACACAUCUUUCAUUGAAUACUUUAAUAGGAAAGAGUAAAGCAGUCUAUCUUGUCAAACCCACACUUACACAGGCAACUCCUGAUGAUGCCGUGGUUGAGGUGCGGAUGCAAUAUUAUCUGAUUUUAUUCAAUUUUUCUGUAUAUCUGAUUUUAUUCAAUUUUUCUGUAUAGGAAUAUUUCUUUAUUAUACAUUAGUUUAAUUUUGAUUUAUUAAAUAGGUUCUUGGGAAAGAUAGUAGGGGUUGCAUGAAGGCAAUGGGUGCAGGUGUCAGCAAAAGUUCUCUUAAGGCCAUAACUCCACUGCUGAAGAUGUAUGAAAAAGAGGCUCAGGCGAUUGCUGAAUGGAAACAACAAGUAGAUGGGAUGUUUGAUAGCCUUCAAGCUCAAAUAGUGCAACUCAACCGUGCAGUUCAAACAGGAUCAGGUGGGAGACCGCCCAUACCUGUUGGUUCAAGGUCACAAAUGCAAGUGGAAGUUAACACGGUACGCUUUUAAAUUGUAAUAUUAUUUGAUGCCACCAAGUUAUCCUUAUCCCAUGCAUUAGAGUUCACUAGAUCAUGGAUAAUAACUGUUUGUAAGUUGUUUGUACAAAUUUGUUAAUAUUAUUGGCUUUCAAUGGCGAUGAUUGUUUUGUAAACAAACUACCACAAUAUUGUUUCAGGAGGUUAGUUAGUUUGGUGGUUGUCCUUUCCAAGUCGUCGCAAAGGGAAGGGUGACAGAUGUUAAUCCAAACUCCAAGUGGGGUGCAAGAUGCCUAGGAGAAGGAAAUUUCUUAGUUUACAUUGAGUGUACGUUUAUACCACACGCUAUGUUGCCAUGCCCUCAUGAUGAAUGGUGUACGACUUUGGGACAAAUUGGGCAGGGAUUUGUAAUUUGGCCGAAGAUGUGCCUCGAGUUUCAUCACUAGCAAGGUCAGUUGUUAAUUAUACGCAUGACAUGGUGAUCAUCUCUUGUACUUACAGUUUUUCUAUUUACUACUCAGUUUCUCACUUUUGACUUGAAUAGGCUUUUAGAAGAAUUCCUAGGUCUUAAUAAAUUUUAAUUCUUGAU
This 1442-nucleotide long non-coding RNA is filed under the name Aquilegia coerulea. RNAcentral describes it as "long non-coding RNA (ACOE_LNC002046)". Lineage: Eukaryota; Viridiplantae; Streptophyta; Magnoliopsida; Ranunculales; Ranunculaceae. The record is from RNAcentral.